Molecule: ribosomal RNA, 477 nt
Filed under: Pseudomonas sp. WB64
Lineage: Bacteria; Pseudomonadati; Pseudomonadota; Gammaproteobacteria; Pseudomonadales; Pseudomonadaceae
Description: bacterial SSU rRNA
Rfam family: Bacterial small subunit ribosomal RNA
Source: RNAcentral
AUUCAGCGGCGGACGGGUGAGUAAUGCCUAGGAAUCUGCCUGGUAGUGGGGGACAACGUCUCGAAAGGGACGCUAAUACCGCAUACGUCCUACGGGAGAAAGCAGGGGACCUUCGGGCCUUGCGCUAUCAGAUGAGCCUAGGUCGGAUUAGCUAGUUGGUGAGGUAAUGGCUCACCAAGGCGACGAUCCGUAACUGGUCUGAGAGGAUGAUCAGUCACACUGGAACUGAGACACGGUCCAGACUCCUACGGGAGGCAGCAGUGGGGAAUAUUGGACAAUGGGCGAAAGCCUGAUCCAGCCAUGCCGCGUGUGUGAAGAAGGUCUUCGGAUUGUAAAGCACUUUAAGUUGGGAGGAAGGGKUGUAAAUUAAUACUYUGCUGUUUUGACGUUACCGACAGAAUAAGCACCGGCUAACUCUGUGCCAGCAGCCGCGGUAAUACAGAGGGUGCAAGCGUUAAUCGGAAUUACUGGGCGUAA